Molecule: long non-coding RNA, 288 nt
Filed under: Setaria italica (foxtail millet)
Lineage: Eukaryota; Viridiplantae; Streptophyta; Magnoliopsida; Poales; Poaceae
Description: long non-coding RNA (SITA_LNC001798)
Source: RNAcentral
GUCAAAACAAGCUUCCAGACUUGCGCAAUACCACGGGGUGGCAGCUCCUGCAGUGUCGUGGUGCCUCAACAACUUUUGCCAUGAUUUGCAGCACCUUUUGGACAUUUCCGUGCGUGCAGCCUAUCCACCCAGCCACAGCACGGGCUGGCCGCAUUUUGUACAUUCGUCGCCUAAUAGGAUAAUCGUGUUGACAUACACUAGAUAUAUGGUGAUUCGAGGACAGGAGAGGCACUCCGGUACCGUCAACCGUGCCUUUUAUGCCAUGCUUAUACUACCCUUCGUCAGAUA